UGUGCCCUUCACCUCUUCCCUGUCUCUGUCACUUUGGGGAAGAGGAGUUGGGGGAAGGAGAACCUACUGCCUGCUUCACUGUAUUGUCCCUAUUGUUUUGCAGAGAGAAUAAAAGCCCGCGAAUACAUCGUCA
Long non-coding RNA from Alosa sapidissima (American shad), 133 nucleotides. RefSeq lists it as uncharacterized. Lineage: Eukaryota; Metazoa; Chordata; Actinopteri; Clupeiformes; Clupeidae. The transcript has 3 exons. The record is from RefSeq and is a predicted model, not a curated record.